UACGAAGGGGGCUAGCGUUGCUCGGAAUCACUGGGCGUAAAGGGUGCGUAGGCGGGUCUUUAAGUCAGGGGUGGAAUCCUGGAGCUCAACUCCAGAACUGCCUUUGAUACUGAGGAUCUUGAGUUCGGGAGAGGUGAGUGGAACUGCGAGUGUAGAGGUGAAAUUCGUAGAUAUUCGCAAGAACACCAGUGGCGAAGGCGGCUUACUGGUCCGGAACUGACGCUGAGGUGCGAAAGCGUGGG
Molecule: ribosomal RNA, 242 nt
Filed under: uncultured bacterium
Lineage: Bacteria
Description: partial 16S ribosomal RNA
Rfam family: Bacterial small subunit ribosomal RNA
Source: RNAcentral